This 225-nucleotide long non-coding RNA is filed under the name Mytilus galloprovincialis (Mediterranean mussel). Lineage: Eukaryota; Metazoa; Mollusca; Bivalvia; Mytilida; Mytilidae. The record is from RNAcentral.
CACUCAUAUACACCCCACAAUCACUCUAUACACAAACUAUACUUGACCUAUUACUUGAAGUUUAAGAAAAACUGACCAAAACACAAAAGUUUAAAAUUGAGCAAUGAACCACAAAAAUGAAGUCAAGGUGAAAAAAAACUGACAGACUGACAUGUACAAAGUACAAUAUCUUCAUAUAUCAAGUAAAGUUAAAAUUUUGCAUACAGUACUUAUUACAAAACAGAC